RNAcentral lists this ribosomal RNA (373 nucleotides) under uncultured organism. RNAcentral's name for it is "partial 16S ribosomal RNA". It matches the Rfam family "Bacterial small subunit ribosomal RNA", at positions 527 to 896 of the family's 1533-position model. The record is from RNAcentral.
GUAGGUGGCAAGCGUUGUCCGGAAUUAUUGGGUGUAAAGCGCGCGCAGGCGGUUCUUUAAGUCUGAUGUGAAAGCCCACGGCUCAACCGUGGAGGGUCAUUGGAAACUGGAGAACUUGAGUACAGAAGAGGAAAGCGGAAUUCCACGUGUAGCGGUGAAAUGCGUAGAGAUGUGGAGGAACACCAGUGGCGAAGGCGGCUUUCUGGUCUGUAACUGACGCUGAGGCGCGAAAGCGUGGGGAGCAAACAGGAUUAGAUACCCUGGUAGUCCACGCCGUAAACGAUGAGUGCUAAGUGUUAGGGGGUUUUCCGCCCCCCUUAGUGCUGCAGCUAACGCAUUAAGCACUCCGCCUGGGAGUACGGCCGCAAGGCUG